Molecule: ribosomal RNA, 914 nt
Filed under: uncultured marine archaeon
Lineage: Archaea
Description: bacterial SSU rRNA
Rfam family: Archaeal small subunit ribosomal RNA
Source: RNAcentral
UUCCGGUUGAUCCCGCCGGAGGCGACCGCUAUUGGAGUUCGAUUAAGCCAUGCGAGUCUAGAGGCUUAGGCCUCGGCAUACCGCUCAGUAACACGUGGGUAACCUGCCCUAUGCUGGGGAAUAACCUCGGGAAACUGAGAACAAUACCCCAUAGUCCACUACGCCUGGAACGGUGGGUGGAUCAAAGCUCCGGCGGCAUAGGAUGGGCCUGCGCCGUAUCAGGUUGUAGGGGGUGUAAUGUACCCUCUAGCCAUCUACGCGUACGGGUGUUGGGAGACAUCGCCCGGAGAUGGAUUCUGAGACACGAAUCCAGACCCUACGGGGUGCAGCAGGCGCGAAAACUUGGCAAUGCGAGCAAUCGUGACCAGGGAACUCCAAGUGCAUCGGGUAAGACCGAUGCUUUUCUUGACUCUUCAAAGGUCUUGGAAUAAGGGGUGGGUAAGGACGGUGCCAGCCGCCGCGGUAAUACCGGCGCCUCAAGUGGUAGUCGCUUUUAUUGGGCCUAAAACGUCCGUAGCCGGUUUGGUACAUUCGUGGGUAAAUCAAGGCGCUCAACGUCUUGAAUUCUGCGAGCACGGCCAGACUUGGGACCGGGUGAGGUGUGGGGUACUCUCAGGGUAGGGGUAAAAUCCUGUCAUCCUGAGAGGACCACCUGUUGCGAAGGCGCCACACUAGAACGGAUCCGACGGUCAGGGACGAAGCCUAGGGGCACGAACCGGAUUAGAUACCCGGGUAGUCCUAGGUGUAAACGCUGUGGACUUGAUGUUGGGAGUGCUCCGAGCACCCUCAGUGUCGAAGCGAAGGUGAUAAGUCCACUGCCUGGGGAGUACGGUCGCAAGGCUGAAACUUAAAGGAAUUGGCGGGGGAGCACUGCAACCUGAGGAUUGUGCGGUUUAAUUGGAUUCAACGCCGGA